RNAcentral lists this ribosomal RNA (253 nucleotides) under uncultured bacterium. RNAcentral describes it as "partial 16S ribosomal RNA". It matches the Rfam family "Bacterial small subunit ribosomal RNA", at positions 524 to 776 of the family's 1533-position model. The record is from RNAcentral.
UACGGAGGGUGCAAGCGUUAUCCGGAUUCACUGGGUUUAAAGGGUGCGUAGGUGGGCAGGUAAGUCAGUGGUGAAAUCUCCGGGCUUAACCCGGAAACUGCCAUUGAUACUAUCUGUCUUGAAUACCGUGGAGGUGAGCGGAAUAUGUCAUGUAGCGGUGAAAUGCUUAGAUAUGACAUAGAACACCAAUUGCGAAGGCAGCUCACUACACGAAUAUUGACACUGAGGCACGAAAGCGUGGGGAGCAAACAGG